RNAcentral lists this long non-coding RNA (292 nucleotides) under Mytilus galloprovincialis (Mediterranean mussel). Lineage: Eukaryota; Metazoa; Mollusca; Bivalvia; Mytilida; Mytilidae. The record is from RNAcentral.
AUGCUAUCGCAUAGCUUAAGGUGAAAUAGCUGUAUAUCGAAAUGCAUCCUGUACCUAAAUAGCUUGCUUGACUUUAAGGGUUUGUUUGGUUUAUUGUACUGCUCUGCUUGAUAGCCAGAUACGAUAUGCCAAAGUGCUAGUGCGACGCCGUAUUUAUACUUGACGGUGAAAUACAUCCGCGACUCACAGAACUGAAAAUCUACUAUAACUUUGAAAUACUAAGGAAAACUCUGGCUCAUGUCCCAAAAUGUCGUUAUAAAUACAUAAAAUCGCGAAAGUUUGCCUUUAAUUC